RNAcentral lists this ribosomal RNA (743 nucleotides) under uncultured bacterium. Its description in RNAcentral is "bacterial SSU rRNA". It matches the Rfam family "Bacterial small subunit ribosomal RNA", at positions 94 to 823 of the family's 1533-position model. The record is from RNAcentral.
AGCGGCGGAUGGGUGAGUAACACGUGGGGAACCUGCCCCUAAGUCUGGGAUACCAUUUGGAAACAGGUGCUAAUACCGGAUAAUAAAGCAGAUCGCAUGAUCAGCUUUUGAAAGGCGGCGUAAGCUGUCGCUAAGGGAUGGCCCCGCGGUGCAUUAGCUAGUUGGUAAGGUAACGGCUUACCAAGGCGACGAUGCAUAGCCGAGUUGAGAGACUGAUCGGCCACAUUGGGACCGAGACACGGCCCAAACUCCUACGGGAGGCAGCAGUAGGGAAUCUUCCACAAUGGACGCAAGUCUGAUGGAGCAACGCCGCGUGAGUGAAGAAGGUUUUCGGGUCGUAAAGCUCUGUUGUUGGUGAAGAAGGAUAGAGGUAGUAACUGGCCUUUAUUUGACGGUAAUCAACCAGAAAGUCACGGCUAACUACGUGCCAGCAGCCGCGGUAAUACGUAGGUGGCAAGCGUUGUCCGGAUUUAUUGGGCGUAAAGCGAGCGCAGGCGGAAAAAUAAGUCUAAUGUGAAAGCCCUCGGCUUAACCGAGGAACUGCAUCGGAAACUGUUUUUCUUGAGUGCAGAAGAGGAGAGUGGAACUCCAUGUGUAGCGGUGGAAUGCGUAGAUAUAUGGAAGAACACCAGUGGCGAAGGCGGCUCUCUGGUCUGCAACUGACGCUGAGGCUCGAAAGCAUGGGUAGCGAACAGGAUUAGAUACCCUGGUAGUCCAUGCCGUAAACGAUGAGUGCUAAGUGU